This 466-nucleotide long non-coding RNA is filed under the name Olea europaea (common olive). RNAcentral's name for it is "long non-coding RNA (OEUR_LNC005399)". The record is from RNAcentral. Lineage: Eukaryota; Viridiplantae; Streptophyta; Magnoliopsida; Lamiales; Oleaceae.
AUUGAUAAAGAAAAUUGUACAUAAGUUGUUAUUCUAUCGAUUUUUCUUAGUUCAUAGGCAAUGAGAAAGUGAAAAAUAUUAGUAUUUUUCUCUCCCUCGGAUGACGCUUAUACCCAUAGUAUUUUAAACCCUAAUAGUAACACAUAUAACUCCUGGCUUUUAACUAAAUUAUGCUACAUAUUCAUGCGGCUGGUACUAUGAUUGAGUCGUCGUCAUCAUAAUCAUCGUCACCAUCGCCUUCAUUUCUCCCACAUAUGUGGAGACGAAUUAUGGCAUCAGCGUCACUAUUUGUCAACUUGGGGUAACCCAUCAGCUUCACAGCACCAAAAAUCACCAUUUGAUAUAUCUCGAUCUAGAGAAUGAGGCGAUACUUGAAGUGUAUUAGGGUUAGAACAACAGAAUUUCCCCAUUUAUAGCUUCAAAAACCAAUAACAUUUCUGAUUUUUAGCCCAUUUGGGAUUUGCAU